This 498-nucleotide ribosomal RNA is filed under the name uncultured bacterium. RNAcentral describes it as "partial 16S ribosomal RNA". It matches the Rfam family "Bacterial small subunit ribosomal RNA", at positions 899 to 1397 of the family's 1533-position model. The record is from RNAcentral.
ACUCAAAUGAAUUGACGGGGACCCGCACAAGCGGUGGAGCAUGUGGUUUAAUUCGAUGCAACGCGAAGAACCUUACCUGGCCUUGACAUCCAUGGAAUUCUGCAGAGAUGUAGAAGUGCCUUCGGGAACCAUGAGACAGGUGCUGCAUGGCUGUCGUCAGCUCGUGUCGUGAGAUGUUGGGUUAAGUCCCGCAACGAGCGCAACCCUUGUCCUUAGUUGCCAUCAUUAAGUUGGGAACUCUAAGGAGACCGCCGGUGACAAACCGGAGGAAGGUGGGGAUGACGUCAAGUCAUCAUGGCCUUUAUGGCCAGGGCUACACACGUGCUACAAUGGCAGGUACAGAGGGAAGCCAACGCGCGAGCGGGAGCCAAUCCCAGAAAGCCUGUCGUAGUCCGGAUCGGAGUCUGCAACUCGACUCUGUGAAGUUGGAAUCGCUAGUAAUCGCAGAUCAGCAUUGCUGCGGUGAAUACGUUCCCGGGUCUUGUACACACCGCCCGU